Molecule: ribosomal RNA, 253 nt
Filed under: uncultured bacterium
Lineage: Bacteria
Description: partial 16S ribosomal RNA
Rfam family: Bacterial small subunit ribosomal RNA
Source: RNAcentral
UACGUAGGGUGCGAGCGUUAAUCGGAAUUACUGGGCGUAAAGCGUGCGUAGGCGGUUUUGUAAGUCAGAUGUGAAAUCCCCGGGCUUAACCUGGGAAUGGCAUUUGGGACUGCAAGGCUUGAGUGCGGCAGAGGAGACUGGAAUUCCUGGUGUAGCAGUGAAAUGCGUAGAUAUCAGGAGGAACACCCGUAGCGAAGGCGGCACUCUGGGCCGAUUCUGACACUGAGGAGCGAAAGCGUGGGGAGCGAACAGG